Long non-coding RNA from Peromyscus leucopus (white-footed mouse), 981 nucleotides. RefSeq lists it as uncharacterized. The record is from RefSeq and is a predicted model, not a curated record. NCBI's taxonomy places the organism in Eukaryota, Metazoa, Chordata, Mammalia, Rodentia, Cricetidae. The transcript has 2 exons.
ACCCUCUGCUAACCCAUGUACUAACAGGGUCCACUCUGUACCCUCUGCUAACCCAUGUACUAACAGGGUCCACUCCAUACCCUCUGCUAACCCAUGUACUAACAGGGUCCACUCCAUACCCUCUGCUAACCCAUGUACUAACAGGGUCCACUCCGUACCCUCUGCUAACCCAUGUACUAACAGGGUCCACUCCGUACCCUCUGCUAACCCAUGUACUAACAGGGUCCACUCCGUACCCUCUGCUAACCCAUGUACUAACAGGUUCCACUCCGUACCCUCUGCUAACCCAUGUACUAACAGGGUCCACUCCGUACCCUCUGCUACUGAGUAAGAAGGAGCUGAGGUGCUUUCCUUACCAGGUUCUCUAGUUUCUCAGUUGAUCCCUCAAAACUAGAAAAACAAUUCCUCUAGCCAUCUUCAUUGUCAUUGUUUGGUCUACUCCCUUCAACGUUGUAACUGAUAAGAAAUAGGCUGUCCUGAUCCAGUGGACUGUAAUUAAAGGCAUGCUGUGAACAUAGGUGUCCUGAACAGAGUCACCUCUAAGCUUUUUUUUUUUUUUUUUUUGUCUCAGCAGAGUCAGCAGACCGACUCUGAAUCCUGGUGGUCAUCUUACUUGACAGCUCAGCUGUACUUGAUAGUUGUCUACCUUCUUGAGAUACUUUCUUCUCUUGGUGACUCUGUAGCCAUUUUCCUGGUUUGACCCUAACCUCAGAGCAUUCCUCCUCAGUUUCUUCUCUCCUUCUUUCCCUCCCUCUCUCCUCCACCCUUCCCUCCUAUCUUUCCUUAUUCAUUGUCAUUUAGAAUAAUGGCACUAGUACCAACUAUAUUUUGAGCUCUAGAUUUUUUCCUAGGCUUGAACUUUGCACUUUUUAAAGUAAAUGAGACAAUAUAUGGCUCUAAACUUUGUUACUGUCAUAUACAAACUCCUAGACACUGCAAACUUAGAAUCCAAUCCGUCCCCUGAACCCCAAAAGAUACAAA